This 408-nucleotide ribosomal RNA is filed under the name Triticum aestivum (bread wheat). Its description in RNAcentral is "partial small subunit ribosomal RNA". The record is from RNAcentral. Lineage: Eukaryota; Viridiplantae; Streptophyta; Magnoliopsida; Poales; Poaceae.
AUGCAGCUUGACUUGGUUAGCAUCGACCGAACUAACGAGACAGCAAGCAAUGCUCCUCCGGCAAGGAGAAAAAAAGAGAGUAGAGCUAGCCACUUGGUUCGUGGGCAAAGCUGCAAGUCCGUCAACAACUACUGCUGCCGUUUUUACAUCGAAUCAACUCAAGUAGUGGGAGUAGUAAAGCUGACACGAUAUGCUCGCUUGCUUGCCUGUAAGAGAAUCCAUCCAGCCGCAGCAGAAACAGUCGUGGACAGAGCAGCCUUCGCAGAUCAAAGAGUGAACAAUGAACCACUCCACCGGUUCCGGUGCCGUGCUGAACAAAGAUAUACCGGCCGGGCAAUGGCAGCGGCAUCGGCACCACCGCACGACCAUCGAGCUGGAGAAUGGGGCCCACGCGUCGAUCAUGUGUAG